This 73-nucleotide transfer RNA is filed under the name Podarcis lilfordi (Lilford's wall lizard). Its description in RNAcentral is "tRNA.Ile". It matches the Rfam family "tRNA". From Rfam's summary of the family: Transfer RNA (tRNA) molecules are approximately 80 nucleotides in length. Their secondary structure includes four short double-helical elements and three loops (D, anti-codon, and T loops). The record is from RNAcentral. Lineage: Eukaryota; Metazoa; Chordata; Lepidosauria; Squamata; Lacertidae.
ACCCCAUAGCUCAGUUGGAUAGAGUGUGGUGCUGAUAACGCCAAGGUCGCAGGUUCGAUCCCCAUAUGGGACA